GCGCCGCAACCCCAGAGUCUGGACCUAACGGUCAGGGGUCCCUUUACCUUUACCUUUACACUCUUCUUUGUUAACUUAAGAACCUGACUGAGACUUAGUGAUUUACCGGGGGGAACCUGGUUGGUGGCAGCAGAUUAGUGGUCAAUAGUCCGUGAGACAACCAGGGGCUCCAUACGAACACCACACCCCACUCCCGAAAGGCCUCCUCACCUAUGCCACUCACGUUGCAGCCGCCAACGCUGCCUCGUCUUCGGCAGCAUCAGCAUCCUCUGUCUCAGCAUGGCACAGAGCCCAUGCCGCUGGCCUGGAUGGCGGAGGCAGCCUCCACGCCAAUGCAGCUUCCUUCCUGCUCGGCCGCCUCAGCGGGAAGGAAGGGGUGAUGCCCAGAGGUGUCCGUGGCUUCUGAUUGGCUGCAGGAGCUUCCUGCAGCCAAUCAGAAGCCGUGCCGUGCCACAUCGCGGAAGUCAGUCUCUGCACAGCGAGGCCUUUGGGGAUUGACCGAGUGGGUGGCAGGGUCCACAAGGUUCACGGGCCGUAUUAACGAGCCCGGUGGGCCAUAUCCGGCCCACGGGCCUUAGUUUGAUUACCUCUGCCCUAUUGCAAUUCUUAAGAUAAGUUUCUCCUUUGGACUCCUGACAAAUGUUUUCCCAUGGUCAAAGAACUUCCUUGAGCAAUACAGUGCCUUUCACAUCCUUGUGGCCUGCUCUGCCAGUUUCGUAUCUACAUCCGAAGGCUGGCAACAACCCCACCUUAUCGGAGUCCCUUGCAGACAACCACAGUGCCUGGAGACAGACAGUCAGGUUGUGCAUUCUCAACAGUGGCCAGAGAAGGAAUGACUGCUGGGAGGAGCGCAGAGAGAGAAAAUGUCAUGACAUAUCUGCAUCAGCAAAACCGAAUGCCUUCAUCUGCCCCAGCUGCAACAAAACAUGUCUCUGCUCUACAACAGAGCUUUCCAAACUUUUCAUGUUGGUGGCACACCUUUCAGACAUGCAUCGUUUCGCGGCACAGUAAUUCAGUUUUACUAGCAAACCAGAGGUUAAACUAACCCCUUUACAGCCCCGGGAAGAGAGCUUGUGCAACACACCUACACACUGCAGCUGACACACUAAUGUGUCGCGACACACUGUUUGGAAAGCUCUGUUCUACAGCCACAAAAGGUGCUGUGACUCUCCAGCAGUUUGACUUUACCCCUGAAGGCACACUCUUCCGUUGUCUCCCGAGACAGACAGAUGCCAACAACAAACCACCAUAUUUUUAAACUACUCCAUCAGAAUGAUUUGCAUUGCUGUUUCACGCUGGACAGAAUUAGGCAGCCGUAACCCUUUUAAGGAAAAAAAUUAAAAGAGUAAGUUGUGUAAUUCCUAAUCGUUUCACCACACCUGGGAGAUCUGUUACAGCUAAAUGGCGGGCAAUGUCCCUGUAUAGCCUGUAUUUCUGACAUGUCAACAUCCAAUUCUAGAGCCUUGAAAAGGCUACGGCAAUAAGAGCAGGAGUAGGGAACAUUCAAUAAGUGAAUUCCCUUUUAGGCAAUGUGUGAGCAGUGAUUCCAGUGUGGUUUUAACACUCAAUCCCUCUCCCCAGGGAACGCCAGACUGUUGCUCUGUAAGGGGCAUAGGAAUCAGAAACAAGGAUUCUUUGGCAGAAGUCAUGAUUGUUUAAAGUGGUGGUUGUUGUUGUUGUUUAGUCGUUUAGUCGUGUCCGACUCUUCGUGACCCCAUGGACCAGAGCAUGCCAGGCACUUCUGUCUUCCGCUGCCUCCCACAGUUUGGUCAAACUCAUGCUGGUACCUUCAAGAACACUGUCCAACCAUCUCGUCCUCUGUCGUCCCCUUCUCCUUGUGCCCUCCAUCUUUCCCAACAUCAGGGUCUUUUCCAGGGAGUCUUCUCUUCUCAUGAGGUGGCCAAAGUAUUGGAGCCUCAGCUUCACGAUCUGUCCUUCCAGUGAGCACUCAGGGCUGAUUUUCUUCAGAAUGGAUAGGUUUGAUCUUCUUGUAGUCCAUAGGACUCUCAAGAGUCUCCUCCAGCACCAUAAUUCAAAAGCAUCAAUUCUUCGGCGAUCAGCCUUCUUUAUGGUCCAGCUCUCACUUCCAUACAUCACUACUGGGAAAACCAUAGCUUCAACUAUACGGACCUUCGUUGGCAAGGUGAUGUCUCUGUAUGAUACUGCUUUAAAUGGGAACAUUGUUUUACCUGGAGCUCUCUGUUGAUCCAGACAGCAGAACUGGAACCAAAGGGUGGAAAUGGCCAGGAAGCCGAUUCGGGCAAACAUUAGCAGAAACUUCCUAAUACUGAAAGCUGCUUAACAAUGGAAGAGAUUACCUUGGUCCUUCGCUGGAGGUGUUAAACAUCUGUUGAGUUGCGGCAGUUGCAUCCCGUGUGGCAGAUCCUGUAGGGAGUUGGACUUGAUCUCCGGAGUCCUUUCCAAUCUUGCAUUUCUACGACAUUCCAAGGCAAGAUUUGAGCACAAGGAGAUCAAAGUGUUCUGGGAUGAAUGAUUUGUUUAUCCCACUGCCUUUGUUUUGCACUCCUUGGGAGUUCUUCUGGCGACAUUUGCAACGAGCAACUUUGUCUAAACCUGGGUGAUCUGACAGCCUCUGAAACGACAAUGUGCAGUUUCAUGAAUAUUCAAGAGAUGUCACCGGUUUCAUCUAGUGAUGCAGAACACCUGCCAUCUGAUUUCUUUAAAAUGACAAUAAAUUGCUCUUAAAAGAAAUGAAGUUUCUUGAUCCAGGAUUGAAUUAGCCUAUAUUUAUUCUAAGGUGGCUAAACAAACUGCAUUCGCAUUAUCAGUGACCUUGAAUAAUUUGGGGCAGCCAUUACAGUUGUCGUACAAUACAGUCAGAUGAAUCGCUCCACUUAACUACCACGGGGUCCUUUUAGAGCACACAG
RNAcentral lists this long non-coding RNA (2888 nucleotides) under Podarcis lilfordi (Lilford's wall lizard). Lineage: Eukaryota; Metazoa; Chordata; Lepidosauria; Squamata; Lacertidae. The record is from RNAcentral.